AGCGCAUGGGCGGACAAUGUGCCGAGAAAAGCUGCUGGUUGUUCCCCGGAGCGCCCGUACCGCAAACCGACACAGGUGGGUGAGUCGAGUAGACUAAGGCGCGCGAGAGAAACCUUUCUAAGGAACUCGCAAAAUAGCCCCGUAACUUCGGGAGAAGGGGUGCCCAACGCAAGUUGGGUCUCAGUAAAUUGGGUUUAGCGACUGUUUAACAAAAACACAGCACUCUGCCAAGUCGUGAAGACGACGUAUAGGGUGUGACACGUGACCAAUGCGGAAAGAUCAAGGUGAGUUGUUAGCCGCAAGGCGAAGCUCCGAGCCUAAGUCCCCGUGAAUGUCGGCCGUAACUAUAACGGUCCUAAGGUAGCGAAAUUCCUUGUCGGGUAAGUUCCGACCUGCACGAAUCGUGUAACGACUGAACCGCUGUCUCGGAGAGGAUCUCGGCGAAAUUGUAACUGCGGUGAAGAUGCCGCAUGCCCGCAGUAGGACGGAAAGACCCUAUGCACCUUUACUGUAAGCUGAUAUUGUGUUCUGGUUCAUGAUGCGUAGCGUAGGUGGGAGGCGUUGAUGCCACGGUUUAGGCCGUGGUGGAGCUGAAAUGUGAAACACCACUCUUUGUGAAUUAGGAUUUUAACCUCCGCCUGUUAGCCAGGGGAGGGACAGUGUCUGCGGGUCAGUUUGGCUGGGGCGGCUUCCUCCCAAAAAGUAACGGAGGAGCGCGAAGCUGGGCUCAACAUGGUUUGCAACCAUGUGUCGAGCGUAUGGGUAUAAGCCCGGUUAACUGCAAGACCUACAAGUCGAGCAGAUGCGAAAGCAGGCCCAAAUGAUCCGACGGUGGAAUGUGGAAUUGCCGUCGCUCAACGGACAAAAGGUACGCUAGGGAUAACAGGCUGAUCGAUUCCAAGAGUUCAUAUCGACGAAUCGGUUUGGCACCUCGAUGUCGGCUCAUCGCAUCCUGGGGCUGGAGAAGGUCCCAAGGGUCCGGCUGUUCGCCGGUUAAAGCGGUACGCGAGCUGGGUUCAGAACGUCGUGAGACAGUUCGGUCCUUAUCCACUGUGGGCGCAGGAAACUUGAGGGGUUCAUUCCCUAGUACGAGAGGACCGGGAAUGACGCGCUUCUGGUGUGGCAAUUGUAUCGUCAGAUGCAUCGUUGCGUAGCCAUGCGCGGAAGAGAUAAGCGCUGAAAGCAUCUAAGCGCCAAGCUCCUCCCAAGAUAUGGUUUCCCUGUCGCAAGACACUAAAGGCCCCCGGAAGACCACCGGGUUGAUAGGUUGGGCGUGCACAACAAGCAAUUGUUUUAGCGGACCAAUACUAAUCGGCCGUGAGGCUUGAUCGC
Molecule: ribosomal RNA, 1332 nt
Filed under: metagenome
Description: bacterial LSU rRNA
Rfam family: Bacterial large subunit ribosomal RNA
Source: RNAcentral